CUGCCACCAGUUCCUCGCAGCUGUGACUCCCCAGGGUAAGAGGCAAAGAGCCACCAGUUCCCAGCUGAGGAAGCCCUGUGAUCAGUGCUGACAGCUCUGCACUGAAAAUUUUUCGUGAUGAAAAGAUUUGAAGAAGAUGAUAGGAGAUGGAGAAGCAGCAGCUGAUCUGCAGACUCCAAGGAGAUCCCAGGAAGCGGUGUCAUCUGCCAAGAUCUUCAGGGACAGAAAGGCCCCUUGACACCUCUUACAUCACACCAAACAGAGCUCCACACCAAGAAAGGAACUGCCCACACCUCACAGAAGCCAUGUUAGUGGACCUUUCUCCACUCGGCAAGCCUUCCUGCGCAGUGGAGGUCAGUGCAGACC
Callithrix jacchus (white-tufted-ear marmoset) is the source of this 366-nucleotide long non-coding RNA. RefSeq lists it as uncharacterized. The record is from RefSeq and is a predicted model, not a curated record. NCBI's taxonomy places the organism in Eukaryota, Metazoa, Chordata, Mammalia, Primates, Cebidae.